Non-coding RNA from Diaporthe sp. PMI_573, 105 nucleotides. NCBI's taxonomy places the organism in Eukaryota, Fungi, Ascomycota, Sordariomycetes, Diaporthales, Diaporthaceae. The record is from the annotation of a GenBank genome assembly.
GGGGGUGUGGCGCAGUGGUAGCGCGCCCGCUUUGCAAGAUGAUUUCCUAUGUCCUCAUCAAAAAGACAUUGCGGAAGGUCAGGCGUUCAAUCCGCCUCUCCUCCA